RNA transcript from Glycine soja, 662 nucleotides. It is a transcript of the gene named sister chromatid cohesion protein PDS5 homolog B-like, with no coding region annotated. The record is from RefSeq and is a predicted model, not a curated record. The transcript has 3 exons. NCBI's taxonomy places the organism in Eukaryota, Viridiplantae, Streptophyta, Magnoliopsida, Fabales, Fabaceae.
AUUUUUGACUCAAGCUUAGGAAGCUGAGUCUUCUUUUAUAACCAGUGUACUUGGAUCGACAAUUUUGCACACCAUAGCACUUUAAUUGUUGCACUCCUUGCUGUUGUUAGUGACCAUCUUUCAAGCAAGCAGCAACAUGCCGAACUAACCUGGAUCAAUCUUAAUCGGCUUCAACAUUAGAGUCAAUGAAGCCCUUUUUUGGUGCAAUUGUUAUGCCAGAAUUGCUGAAGCACCAGGAUAGUGAUAUCAAGCUUAUAGUUGCAGCAUGUCUCUAUGAGAUAACUCAAAUCACUGCACCUGAAGCUCCUUACAAUGAUGAUUUUCUAAAGGACAUUUUUCAGUUGAUUGUGGGCACUUUUAGUGGUCUGAGUAAUACAAGUGGUUCAUCCUUUGACCAGAGAGUUGCUAUACUGGAAAGAGUUAUAUUGAAUGAAGUUAUAUUGUUUACUUGAAAGCUUCUGCUAUUAAGCUUCAUGAGAUUGCAAACUUGAUAUUUUGUUGGUGCACGUAGUUCUGGAGUCUGUUCUUUUUUCCUAGUAAAAUAAUAUGAUAAAAUGAAUUAAAGAUAAUUAGACAAACAAAAACUAUAUCUUAUUUGUAUACUUGGAAUGCGAUGUUUUGGAAUGGAGAGACAAAUAUUGUAAUUUUGAAAUAGUGAAACU